UCCGCAAACACUUUGCCGGCCUCGAGGA
RNAcentral lists this small RNA (28 nucleotides) under Bombyx mori (domestic silkworm). RNAcentral's name for it is "ovarian small RNA-27515". Lineage: Eukaryota; Metazoa; Arthropoda; Insecta; Lepidoptera; Bombycidae. The record is from RNAcentral.